RNAcentral lists this non-coding RNA (129 nucleotides) under Eucalyptus grandis. Lineage: Eukaryota; Viridiplantae; Streptophyta; Magnoliopsida; Myrtales; Myrtaceae. The record is from RNAcentral.
GUGUUCGUAGAAAGGAGAGAUGGUUGGCAUCUCCCCUAACACGAACGGGAACAACCUUCAGGCUUAUCUAUUACCAACACAUCCGGUUAAGGCUACCCAUUUCGCAGUGGAUCUCUAACCCAAUUUUAU